RNAcentral lists this ribosomal RNA (999 nucleotides) under Triticum aestivum (bread wheat). RNAcentral describes it as "partial small subunit ribosomal RNA". The record is from RNAcentral. Lineage: Eukaryota; Viridiplantae; Streptophyta; Magnoliopsida; Poales; Poaceae.
AUGGAACCGGAGGACACAUUCCACACAUUCUGUAGAUGCCCAUUGGAUGUUGCUUUGUGGAACGCUAUGCAAGAAAAAUGGCUAUUGCCGGACUUAGCUUCAGUGAUGAAUACAAGGCUUGAGUGGCUUUUUGAUCUUCUGUACAAGCUAAAUGAAGAUGAUCGCAUGCAUGUGUUGAUGGUGCUGUGGAGGAGUUGGUAUUUGUCUGCCCCACCGGCUGGUCGCGUGAAGCUGAAUGUUGACGGGUCGUUCGUUGAUAUAGACGGUCGAUUAGCAGGAUCCGGUAUGAUCCUACGUGAUAAUGACGGCAACAUUAUCUUCUCCGCUUGUCGUUCCAUCUUGCAUUGUUCCGGACCGCUCCAGGCUGAGUUGUUGGCGUGCCAGGAGGGAUUACGCCUUGCUCUACAAUGGUCUACUCACUCGGUAGACAUUGAUAUGGACUUGAUGGAUGUGGUCAAGUUGAUCAAGUCGCCUACCCUUGACAGAUCGCCAAAUAAAAUGAUAGUUCAGGAUAUUAAGAGGCUCUUUGGUGAAUGGGAUGUCUCCAUUGCUCAUGUAAGUAGGAAUCAGAAUGUUGUUAGCCACACCCUUGCUGCUUUCGGACGAUCGGGGGCCCGAUCUGCAGUUUGGUUGCGCUUUGGACCUGCAGACGUUCCUCUGCUAUUGGUCGAUCUGGUCAACUUGUCGGGAGCCCUCCACGACGCCAUGCGUUCUGGGGUCCCACAUCCCCUCAUGUCCGCCUACCACAUCCAUAUCGAAUCGGAUGUUGCACCUAGCCUUAUCUCCCGCCACAUGUUUUCUUCCCAAAGGCGCCGCCGCCAGAACAUCUCUCUUUAUACAUGUUUGCAGCGUAUUGACCCUCAUCACAACUCGCUUCUAGCCCAUUGGCCAUCAUCACCUACAACAGGCAUUGCACAUGCCCGAUCGUGUGCUAAUUGGGUUGCGUCCCUGCUGCUCCUCUCAGACCGCCGCACACCAAGGCUACCGCCACCAAUUUAG